This 690-nucleotide small RNA is filed under the name Histoplasma capsulatum var. duboisii H88. RNAcentral describes it as "Histoplasma capsulatum H88 hypothetical RNA". The record is from RNAcentral. Lineage: Eukaryota; Fungi; Ascomycota; Eurotiomycetes; Onygenales; Ajellomycetaceae.
GAAACGCGAGGAAGGUGACAAUAGGCGCGCCGAGCAUCUCCAGGAUCUUGUGCGUAUCAUGCAUAUGCUUUCUAAUGACGCUAUCUGGAGUGCAAAAGGUACGAACACUCAUCUCCUUGGCGAUCGCCUUCCAAUUACGCAAGGUGGCAUUGAGAGCUACCACAUUCUGUGCACAUUCGCCAUGAAAUUUGAACGUACGUAGGUUAUAGAUGACGAGGUCACGCUGGGUGAGCUGGUCGAAUUGAAACUGCACGACCUGCGGACGAUUCUUUGACGCCCAGAAAUUGGUGACUUUGGUAACCGAUUCCACCGAUAUGCGACCCUCCUUGUGUUGGUCGAGAAGGAACUUGUUGGCCGUCACACAUAUCAUAAGCUCUACCUCAGAGUACAAUUUUGCCUGGGUUGGAGGGUCCAAGGAAAUGGGGAAGGUUGAUUGAAACCGUUCUUUGGAUUUCUUCACGUCUCCUGUCUGUAAACCGAAUAGUUAGAUUGAAAAACGGUCUCUCGCAGUGCGUCAGGAAAUCUCCAUGGAUCGAAAAUGUUUAUGGACUUACUAUAUCCUCAACGCGCUGUUUGAUCUUCUCACCCAGCGCCUUGAAACCAGGCCUUUUGUUCUUCUCAGAGGGACUUUCCUUCAAGGAAGGACUGCGACCUAGCCAACCAUUUUCGCCGAACAGCUUUUUAUGCGGU